Molecule: non-coding RNA, 29 nt
Filed under: Homo sapiens (human)
Lineage: Eukaryota; Metazoa; Chordata; Mammalia; Primates; Hominidae
Source: RNAcentral
UGAGUAGAAGGUUGCUGAGCAUCGAAGCU